RNAcentral lists this long non-coding RNA (232 nucleotides) under Pan troglodytes (chimpanzee). RNAcentral's name for it is "long non-coding RNA NONPTRT007985". The record is from RNAcentral. Lineage: Eukaryota; Metazoa; Chordata; Mammalia; Primates; Hominidae.
GGAAAAUGGACUCAGUGGCCUUUGAGGAUGUGGCAGUGAACUUCACCCAGGAGGAGUGGGCUUUGCUGGAUCCUUGGCAGAAAAAACUCUACAGAGAUGUGAUGCUGGAAACCUAUAGGAACCUGGCUUCAGUAGGUGAUGAUGACAACAUUCCUUCACUUAGAGAACAAGUUGCCCAUCAACGAUAUUUCAAGACCUGGCAUGUGGAAAGGGAAUACUUCAGUAAAUAAAC